ACGGGUGCGUAACGCGUAUACAAUCUGCCUUUCACAUAGGGAUAGCCCGAAGAAAUUUGGAUUAAUACCUAAUGGCAUAUAGGGAUGGCAUCAUUUUUAUAUUAAAGCUGAGGCGGUGAAAGAUGAGUAUGCGUUCUAUUAGCUAGUUGGAGAGGUAACGGCUCCCCAAGGCGACGAUAGAUAGGGGUUCUGAGAGGGAUAUCCCCCACACUGGUACUGAGAUACGGACCAGACUCCUACGGGAGGCAGCAGUGAGGAAUAUUGGACAAUGGUCGGAAGACUGAUCCAGCCAUGCCGCGUGCAGGAAGACGGCCUUAUGGGUUGUAAACUGCUUUUGCAGGGGAAGAAUAAGGAGUACGUGUACUUUGAUGACGGUACUCUGCGAAUAAGCAUCGGCUAACUCCGUGCCAGCAGCCGCGGUAAUACGGAGGAUGCGAGCGUUAUCCGGAAUCAUUGGGUUUAAAGGGUCCGUAGGCGGGCUAAUAAGUCAGAGGUGAAAGCGCUCAGCUCAACUGAGCAACUGCCUUUGAAACUGUUAGUCUUGAAUGGUUGUGAAGUAGUUGGAAUGUGUAGUGUAGCGGUGAAAUGCUUAGAUAUUACACAGAACACCGAUAGCGAAGGCAUAUUACUAACAAUUAAUUGACGCUGAUGGACGAAAGCGUGGGGAGCGAACAGGAUUAGAUACCCU
Molecule: ribosomal RNA, 688 nt
Filed under: uncultured bacterium
Lineage: Bacteria
Description: bacterial SSU rRNA
Rfam family: Bacterial small subunit ribosomal RNA
Source: RNAcentral